UACGGGGGGUGCAAGCGUUGUUCGGAAUCAUUGGGCGUAAAGAGCGUGUAGGCGGUUGGACAAGUCAGAUGUGAAAGCCCGGGGCUUAACCCCGGAAGGGCAUCCGAAACUGUCGAGCUUGAGUACGGGAGAGGGAAGCGGAAUUCCUGGUGUAGAGGUGAAAUUCGUAGAUAUCAGGAGGAACACCGGUGGCGAAGGCGGCUUCCUGGACCGAUACUGACGCUGAGACGCGAAAGCGUGGGGAGCAAACAGGAUUAGAUACCCGGGUAGUCC
RNAcentral lists this ribosomal RNA (273 nucleotides) under uncultured bacterium. RNAcentral describes it as "partial 16S ribosomal RNA". It matches the Rfam family "Bacterial small subunit ribosomal RNA", at positions 524 to 796 of the family's 1533-position model. The record is from RNAcentral.